UCCCUGAUGACUCAGUUGGUAAAGAAUCUGUCUGCAAUGCAGGAGACUCAGGUUCAAUCCCUGGCUGGGGAA
Molecule: transfer RNA, 72 nt
Filed under: Ovis aries (sheep)
Lineage: Eukaryota; Metazoa; Chordata; Mammalia; Artiodactyla; Bovidae
Rfam family: tRNA
About the family: Transfer RNA (tRNA) molecules are approximately 80 nucleotides in length.
Source: Rfam by way of RNAcentral